AUUGAACGCUGGCGGCAUGCUUUACACAUGCAAGUCGAACGGUAACAGGCCUUCGGGUGCUGACGAGUGGCGCACGGGUGAGUAAUGCAUCGGAACGUACCCAGAGGUGGGGGAUAACGCAGCGAAAGCUGUGCUAAUACCGCAUGUGAUCUGAGGAUGAAAGCGGGGGACCGAGCAGCAAUGUUUGGCCUCGCGCCUUUGGAGCGGCCGAUGUCGGAUUAGCUAGUUGGUGGGGUAAAGGCCUACCAAGGCGACGAUCCGUAGCUGGUCUGAGAGGACGACCAGCCACACUGGGACUGAGACACGGCCCAGACUCCUACGGGAGGCAGCAGUGGGGAAUUUUGGACAAUGGGCGCAAGCCUGAUCCAGCAAUGCCGCGUGCGGGAGGAAGGCCUUCGGGUUGUAAACCGCUUUUGGCAGGAACGAAACGGUGUCCGCUAAUACCGGGCGCUAAUGACGGUACCUGCAGAAUAAGCACCGGCUAACUACGU
This 491-nucleotide ribosomal RNA is filed under the name uncultured bacterium. RNAcentral's name for it is "partial 16S ribosomal RNA". It matches the Rfam family "Bacterial small subunit ribosomal RNA", at positions 29 to 506 of the family's 1533-position model. The record is from RNAcentral.